AUGGCGAAGGCAAGAGGUCCGACAUUCUCAAGAUUUGAGGAUAUCUUGUUGGUCAAAGCUUGGUUGGCCACAACGAUGGAUCCAAUAUGCGGCACCGAGCAAAACGGGAACAAGUAUUGGGAGAAAAUUUGGUAG
This 135-nucleotide ribosomal RNA is filed under the name Triticum aestivum (bread wheat). RNAcentral's name for it is "partial small subunit ribosomal RNA". Lineage: Eukaryota; Viridiplantae; Streptophyta; Magnoliopsida; Poales; Poaceae. The record is from RNAcentral.